GAUGAACGCUGGCGGCGUGCCUAAUACAUGCAAGUCGAGCGAACGGACGAGAAGCUUGCUUCUCUGAUGUUAGCGGCGGACGGGUGAGUAACACGUGGAUAACCUACCUAUAAGACUGGGAUAACUUCGGGAAACCGGAGCUAAUACCGGAUAAUAUUUUGAACCGCAUGGUUCAAAAGUGAAAGACGGUCUUGCUGUCACUUAUAGAUGGAUCCGCGCUGCAUUAGCUAGUUGGUAAGGUAACGGCUUACCAAGGCAACGAUGCAUAGCCGACCUGAGAGGGUGAUCGGCCACACUGGAACUGAGACACGGUCCAGACUCCUACGGGAGGCAGCAGUAGGGAAUCUUCCGCAAUGGGCGAAAGCCUGACGGAGCAACGCCGCGUGAGUGAUGAAGGGCUUCGGAUCGUAAAACUCUGUUAUUAGGGAAGAACAUAUGUGUAAGUAACUGUGCACAUCUUGACGGUACCUAAUCAGAAAGCCACGGCUAACUACGU
Molecule: ribosomal RNA, 496 nt
Filed under: uncultured bacterium
Lineage: Bacteria
Description: partial 16S ribosomal RNA
Rfam family: Bacterial small subunit ribosomal RNA
Source: RNAcentral